RNAcentral lists this transfer RNA (62 nucleotides) under Eunectes notaeus (yellow anaconda). RNAcentral's name for it is "transfer RNA-Ala". The record is from RNAcentral. Lineage: Eukaryota; Metazoa; Chordata; Lepidosauria; Squamata; Boidae.
AGAGUUUUAGUUUAAUUAAAAUGUCUGUGUUGCAAGCAGAAGAUGUGAUAUUUGCAGGCUCU